UACGUAGGGUGCGAGCGUUGUCCGGAAUUAUUGGGCGUAAAGAGCUUGUAGGCGGUCUGUCGCGUCUGCUGUGAAAAUCCGGGGCUCAACCCCGGACUUGCAGUAGGUACGGGCAGACUAGAGUGUGGUAGGGGAGACUGGAAUUCCUGGUGUAGCGGUGAAAUGCGCAGAUAUCAGGAGGAACACCGAUGGCGAAGGCAGGUCUCUGGGCCACUACUGACGCUGAGGCACGAAAGCGUGGGGAGCAAACAGG
RNAcentral lists this ribosomal RNA (253 nucleotides) under uncultured bacterium. Its description in RNAcentral is "partial 16S ribosomal RNA". It matches the Rfam family "Bacterial small subunit ribosomal RNA", at positions 524 to 776 of the family's 1533-position model. The record is from RNAcentral.